RNAcentral lists this ribosomal RNA (403 nucleotides) under uncultured bacterium. RNAcentral describes it as "bacterial SSU rRNA". It matches the Rfam family "Bacterial small subunit ribosomal RNA", at positions 917 to 1322 of the family's 1533-position model. The record is from RNAcentral.
GGGCCCGCACAAGCGGUGGAGCAUGUGGUUUAAUUCGAUGAUACGCGAGGAACCUUACCAGGGCUUAAAUGGAAAAUGACAGGGGCAGAGACGCCCCCUUCUUCGGACAUUUUUCAAGGUGCUGCAUGGUUGUCGUCAGCUCGUGCCGUGAGGUGUCAGGUUAAGUCCUAUAACGAGCGCAACCCCUACCGUUAGUUGCCAGCGAGUAAUGUCGGGGACUCUAACGGAACUGCCGAUGCAAACCGUGAGGAAGGUGGGGACGACGUCAAAUCAUCACGGCCCUUACGUCCUGGGCCACACACGUGCUACAAUGGUAGGUACAGAGGGAAGCAAGAUCGCAAGAUGGAGCCAAUCCCUAAAAGGUCGCCUCAGUUCGGAUUGGAGUCUGCAACUCGACUCCAUG